GGAUUCCCCAAGUAGCGGCGAGCGAACAGGGAUGAGCCCAGCGCCGAAUCCCGCGUCCGGUCUACGGGCGCCGGGAAAUGUGGCGUUAGGGAGUGCCCAAUUUCCCGGGGCCAUUGCGGCGCGCCUAAGUCCUUCUUGAACGGGGCCACUCGCCCAGAGAGGGUGCCAGGCCCGUGACGGCCGCCGAGGGUUCCGGGAGGGCGUCUCCUGAGAGUCGGGUUGCUUGAGAGUGCAGCUCUAAGCGGGUGGUAAACUCCAUCUAAGGCUAAAUACGACCACGAGACCGAUAGCGAACAAGUACCGUGAGGGAAAGUUGAAAAGCACUUUGAAGAGAGAGUUCAAGAGUACGUGAAACCGUUCAGGGGUAAACCUGAGAAACCCGAAUGGUACGGGCGGGAGAUUCAUAUGUUCAUCGCGGGCGGCGGUUGGUGCGUGCGCUGACGGGGCACCGGUUUCGGCCGGCGCUUCGCGCGUCGCGCCGCCGUCCGUCUGCGGCGGCGUGCACUUCUCCCGCCACAGAGAGGUCGCGACCCGUCUGGUGCCGGUCUGAAGGCCCGCGUGCGCAGACCGCCGUCGUCAUCUGGCGACGGCGGAGCCGCGGCGUCCCGGCCGGCCGCCGGACGGUAUCGAACGAGAACGGUACGGAGCCGCCGACGCUUGCGUCGGCGUCCGGCCCGUCGCGAGCUGGGGCGUUCUUCGUCCGGCGGUCGGACUCGCGUCCGGCCCCGGCACCGCUCCGCUGUCGGCGACGGCGUCCCCGGACAGACUCCGCCACACCGGUCUGCGACGCUUCAGCUUCGGGUAAUUUCAGGACCCGUCUUGAAACACGGACCAAGGAGUCUAGCAUGCGCGCGAGUCAUUGGGAUUCGCUAAGCCUAAAGGCGAAAUGAAAGUGAAGGUACGCCUCGUUGCGGACCGAGGGAGGAUGGGUCGCGUCGCGACGCGGCCCCGCACUCCCGGGGCGUCUCUCGGCCUCAUCGCGAGGCAAGGCGCACCCAGAGCGUGCACGCUGGGACCCGAAAGAU
RNAcentral lists this ribosomal RNA (1025 nucleotides) under Tenomerga cinerea. RNAcentral describes it as "eukaryotic LSU rRNA". It matches the Rfam family "Eukaryotic large subunit ribosomal RNA", at positions 72 to 824 of the family's 3401-position model. Lineage: Eukaryota; Metazoa; Arthropoda; Insecta; Coleoptera; Cupedidae. The record is from RNAcentral.